This 776-nucleotide long non-coding RNA is filed under the name Gouania willdenowi (blunt-snouted clingfish). Its description in RNAcentral is "lncRNA (ENSGWIG00000023111.1)". The record is from RNAcentral. Lineage: Eukaryota; Metazoa; Chordata; Actinopteri; Blenniiformes; Gobiesocidae.
CACAAGCUUAAACAUCAGCAGUGGCAUCAGUGACAGCAGGUGGUACAGAUUUCUGAAGACAUGAUAGAGAUUAUACUGAAAAAUGUUCAAUUUAGUUCUGAAAAAAUCACUGUAAAACUUGGUUCUGAUGUCCCUAACGGAGAGGAAAAAAAGAUGACUAUGAAAGAGCCUUUGCUUAGUUGUGAAGAAACUACUAUAUCCUUCAGUUUUAAAGCCUUUAUUAAAACGGUUUGGGAUGGCAUAAAGACUGGCUUACGCAAGAUCUUCUCUGGUAUCACAAGCCUCUUCAGCUGGUGGAGGCCAAAUAUCCACCAGGAUUAGACGCCCUGUGUGUCCUGGUUCCUGCACGACGUGGCAAAAGCAAGAUCUAUGGUGUGGUGUAUUGAUUAUGAUGCUGUUAGCCUACUCCACCAAAAGGGAACGUUCUACUAUUGAAGCGUUAUGUGUACAUCUGAUAUUGAAAAAAAAAAAAACUAAAAACUGUGGAAAUACCCCCAUGUGAACAUUUUUAAAUCCAAGUUAAAGGCCCUCUUUUUCUCUGUAUGAUUAUUAUAAUAAUAUGAUUUUUAAUCAUAUUAUUGAUGAUUUAAUGUUUUUAAUGCUGAUUUAUAAACUGUUAAAUGUUUUCUGUUGUACUUUUUAAUCAUGUAAAGCAUAUUGAAUUGCCUAUGAAAUGUGCUAUUAAGUUUAUGAAUGCUACCAUACACGUUUUAUUAUUCUCUGAUUUACUGCAGUCAUAAUAUGUGGAUUUUUUCUUUCAUAAUCAUAAAUCCCCA